AUCCAGCUGACGAGUCCCAAAUAGGAAGAAACACGAGUCCUGGAU
This 45-nucleotide non-coding RNA is filed under the name Schistosoma mansoni. Lineage: Eukaryota; Metazoa; Platyhelminthes; Trematoda; Strigeidida; Schistosomatidae. The record is from RNAcentral.